CUCCUUGUAGAUCACUCCACUGGUCGCCCACAUUUCCCCAUAUCCUAUACCCUUCUUCUACUAGUUGCUUUCUAAUAUCGGAUUUGUAUUUCACUGCGCUUUGCCCUUUGUACGAGGCCGUCCUCAAGAUUAAUCGCUCAUAGCCAAUGAAUCCUUGAUUAUGCAAAUUAUGGAUAGUGGCUUGGCCAAGAGUUUGGUCUCUGCCAGUGACGAUGAAUACCUUAAAACCACUCUCAACCAGGACCUGGAACAAUCUAAACA
Molecule: unclassified non-coding RNA, 261 nt
Filed under: Hevea brasiliensis (rubber tree)
Lineage: Eukaryota; Viridiplantae; Streptophyta; Magnoliopsida; Malpighiales; Euphorbiaceae
Source: RNAcentral